Molecule: small RNA, 584 nt
Filed under: Pongo abelii (Sumatran orangutan)
Lineage: Eukaryota; Metazoa; Chordata; Mammalia; Primates; Hominidae
Description: retained intron
Source: RNAcentral
GACGUUGGACAACAAAGAUGGCGGCGGGGACCAGCAAUUACUGGGAAGAUCUCAGGAAACAGGCUCGACAGCUGGAAAAUGAACUUGACCUGAAACUAGUUUCCUUCAGCAAACUAUGUACAAGUUACAGUCAUAGCAGUACCCGAGAUGGAAGACGCGACAGUUCUGAUACAACACCCCUUUUAAAUGGAUCAAGCCAAGACAGAAUGUUUGAGACAAUGGCGAUUGAGAUUGAACAACUUUUGGCAAGGCUUACAGGGGUAAAUGAUAAAAUGGCAGAAUAUACCAACAGUGCAGGUGUCCCCUCCUUGAAUGCAGCCCUGAUGCAUACAUUACAGCGGCAUAGAGACAUAUUGCAGGAUUAUACACAUGAAUUCCAUAAAACCAAAGCAAACUUUAUGUCAAUACGGGAAAGGGAGAAUCUCAUGGGAUCAGUACGAAAAGAUAUUGAGUAAGUUACCUUUUAUAUUAUUUUGUAGAAUAUUUAUUCAGAUUUGGCUUUAGGAUAUGUUCACGGUUAAUUGCAAAUUGAGUGGCAGAACCAUGGUUGAGAUUUCAGGGUUUCCAAUUCCCAUUUCACUGUC